Molecule: ribosomal RNA, 441 nt
Filed under: uncultured bacterium
Lineage: Bacteria
Description: partial 16S ribosomal RNA
Rfam family: Bacterial small subunit ribosomal RNA
Source: RNAcentral
CCUACGGGAGGCAGCAGUGGGGAAUAUUGCACAAUGGGGGAAACCCUGAUGCAGCGACGCCGCGUGAGUGAAGAAGUAUUUCGGUAUGUAAAGCUCUAUCAGCAGGGAAGAAGAAAGACGGUACCUUACUAAGAAGCCCCGGCUAACUACGUGCCAGCAGCCGCGGUAAUACGUAGGGGGCAAGCGUUAUCCGGAUGUACUGGGUGUAAAGGGAGCGUAGGCGGCUGUGGAAGUCUGAAGUGAAAGCCCAGGGCUCAACCCAUGGACUGCUUGUGAAACUGUGGAGGUAGGGUGAUGGAGAGGGAAGUGGAAUUCCUUGGGGAGCGGUGAAAAGCGUAGAUAUUAGGAGGAACACCAGUGGCGAAGGCGGGUUACUGGACAGUAACUGACGUUGGGGCUCGAAAGCGUGGGGAGCAAACAGGAUUAGAUACCCCGGUAGUC